AUGCGUGCCUUCGUCCACGACGUGUCCCCGGGCCUGGCAAGCCUGGUGCGGCGCUUCGUCAACUUCGUCUUCGUCCGUCUACGCAUGCCCGACGCUGGCAACACCGGUGCGUGCCUUCGUCUACGAUGUGUCCCCGGGCUUGGCAAACCCGCCGCGACGCGUCGUCAACAACAACUUCUUCCCGGCGCACCACUACUUCGACACCACUGCGCCCAUGCUAACUCGGCGCUUCCUUGCGCCCGCGGCUCCACGGCGACUUCCUCGACACUGGCUACCCCGACUCGACAUCGACCACGGCAUUCUUUGCACGGCUACCUCGACACUCUCGGCUACAUCGACAUCGGCACAAAGGGCUAUCAUCCGCUUGAGCAACUCGUCGGCUUCCUCUACAGUCAACGUGUCCGCGACGCGACACCGUCCAUGACGCCCCCGCUACGACUGCGGGAGGAUGUCAGCCCGUCGGCUGCUAUUCUCUCCAGUCUGACCGUCCGCGACGCUCAUGUUGUUCGCAACGCUACCGCUACGACUGCGGGGGAUGUUAGAGAUAUAUUUGGGUUACAUGUAUUUGGUAGUUUAGGAUUCCUACCUAAUCUCUAG
This 597-nucleotide ribosomal RNA is filed under the name Triticum aestivum (bread wheat). Its description in RNAcentral is "partial small subunit ribosomal RNA". Lineage: Eukaryota; Viridiplantae; Streptophyta; Magnoliopsida; Poales; Poaceae. The record is from RNAcentral.